Molecule: unclassified non-coding RNA, 249 nt
Filed under: Hevea brasiliensis (rubber tree)
Lineage: Eukaryota; Viridiplantae; Streptophyta; Magnoliopsida; Malpighiales; Euphorbiaceae
Source: RNAcentral
AUAAAUAACUGAAGAGUUGUAACAGAGGUCUAUCCAAGAAAUAUAAAUAUUACAAUCACUUCUUCUAUCUAAUUAUCUUCUCUCUAAGUUCUAUUUCUCUCUAUCUUCCUUCAUAUCCUAUUUCCCUUCCCCUUUCUUUCUCUAUCUCUCCCUAAUUUAUGUUCUUCUCUGGAAUUAAGAACACUGCUUUGUAACAGAUGGUAUCAGAGCUUGAUUUAUUAAUGUUCUUCUCUGGAAUUAAGAACACUG